Molecule: ribosomal RNA, 292 nt
Filed under: uncultured bacterium
Lineage: Bacteria
Description: partial 16S ribosomal RNA
Rfam family: Bacterial small subunit ribosomal RNA
Source: RNAcentral
GUGUCAGCAGCCGCGGUAAUACGUAGGGGGCAAGCGUUAUCCGGAUUUACUGGGUGUAAAGGGAGCGUAGGUGGUAUGGCAAGUCAGAUGUGAAAGCCCGGGGCUCAACCCCGGGACUGCAUUUGAAACUGUCAGACUAGAGUGCAGGAGAGGUAAGUGGAAUUCCUAGUGUAGCGGUGAAAUGCGUAGAUAUUAGGAGGAACACCAGUGGCGAAGGCGGCUUACUGGACUGUAACUGACACUGAGGCUCGAAAGCGUGGGGAGCAAACAGGAUUAGAAACCCGUGUAGUCC